RNAcentral lists this ribosomal RNA (443 nucleotides) under uncultured bacterium. RNAcentral describes it as "partial 16S ribosomal RNA". It matches the Rfam family "Bacterial small subunit ribosomal RNA", at positions 338 to 795 of the family's 1533-position model. The record is from RNAcentral.
CCUACGGGUGGCAGCAGUGGGGGAUAUUGGACAAUGGGGGAAACCCUGAUCCAGCGACGCCGCGUGAGUGAAGAAGUAUUUCGGUAUGUAAAGCUCUGUCAGCAGGGAAGAAAGAAAUGACGGUACCUGACCAAGAAGCCCCGGCUAACUACGUGCCAGCAGCCGCGGGAAUACGUAGGGCGCAAGCGUUAUCCGGAGUUACUGGGUGUAAAGGGAGCGUAUACGGGUAUGCAAGUCUGGAGUGAAAGGCGGGGGCCCAACCCCCGGACUGCUCGGGAAACUGGGGAACUUGAGUGAAGGAGAGGGAGGCGGAAUGCGUGGUGUAGCGGUGAAAGGCGUAGAUAUUAGGAGGAACACCAGUGGCGAAGGCGGCUUACUGGACUGUAACUGACGUUGAGGCUCGAAAGCGUGGGGAGCAAACAGGAUGAGAUACCCCAGGAGUC